RNAcentral lists this ribosomal RNA (425 nucleotides) under uncultured bacterium. RNAcentral describes it as "partial 16S ribosomal RNA". It matches the Rfam family "Bacterial small subunit ribosomal RNA", at positions 354 to 796 of the family's 1533-position model. The record is from RNAcentral.
GUGGGGAAUCUUGCGCAAUGGGCGAAAGCCUGACGCAGCCAUGCCGCGUGAAUGAUGAAGGUCUUAGGAUUGUAAAAUUCUUUCACCGGGGACGAUAAUGACGGUACCCGGAGAAGAAGCCCCGGCUAACUUCGUGCCAGCAGCCGCGGUAAUACGAAGGGGGCUAGCGUUGCUCGGAAUUACUGGGCGUAAAGGGAGCGUAGGCGGACUGUUUAGUCAGAGGUGAAAGCCCAGGGCUCAACCUUGGAAUUGCCUUUGAUACUGGCAGUCUUGAGUACGGGAGAGGUGUGUGGAACUCCGAGUGUAGAGGUGAAAUUCGUAGAUAUUCGGAAGAACACCAGUGGCGAAGGCGACACACUGGCCCGUUACUGACGCUGAGGCUCGAAAGCGUGGGGAGCAAACAGGAUUAGAAACCCGAGUAGUCC